GAAAGGACCGGACCUUCGGGGAGCCUAUACAGGUGUUGCAUGGCUGUCGUCAGCUCGUGUCGUGAGAUGUCGGUUAAGUCCGCUAACGAGCGCAACCCUCGUCGUAUGUUAUAUGCGUCAUACGAGACUGCCGGUAAAAAGCCGGAGGAAGGUGAGGAUGAUGUCAAGUCAGCAUGACCUUUAUAUCCAGGGCUACACACACGCUACAAUGGUCUGUACAAUGGGUAGCCAAGCCGCGAGGCGGAGCCAAUCCUGAAAGCAGGCCUCAGUUCAGAUUGCAGUCUGCAACUCGACUGCAUGAAGCCGGAGUUGCUAGUAACCGCAGGUCAGCAAUACUGCGGUGAAUACGUUCCCGGGUCUU
RNAcentral lists this ribosomal RNA (361 nucleotides) under uncultured Anaerolineaceae bacterium. RNAcentral's name for it is "bacterial SSU rRNA". It matches the Rfam family "Bacterial small subunit ribosomal RNA", at positions 1003 to 1382 of the family's 1533-position model. The record is from RNAcentral. Lineage: Bacteria; Bacillati; Chloroflexota; Anaerolineae; Anaerolineales; Anaerolineaceae.